Molecule: ribosomal RNA, 528 nt
Filed under: uncultured bacterium
Lineage: Bacteria
Description: bacterial SSU rRNA
Rfam family: Bacterial small subunit ribosomal RNA
Source: RNAcentral
GACGAACGCUGGCGGCGUGCCUAACACAUGCAAGUCGAGCGGAGUCGAUCGACGGAAGCCUUCGGGCGGAAGAUGGUUGACUUAGCGGCGGAUGGGUGAGUAACGCGUGGGCAACCUGCCUCGAAGACCGGGAUAACAGCCCGAAAGGGCUGCUAAUACCGGAUGUGGUCAAGGAUCCGCAUGGAUUUUUGAUUAAAGGGGAAACCCGUUUCGAGAUGGGCCCGCGUCCUAUCAGCUAGUUGGUGAGGUAAAAGCUCACCAAGGCGACGACGGGUAGCCGGCCUGAGAGGGUGACCGGCCACACUGGAACUGAGACACGGUCCAGACUCCUACGGGGGCAGCAGUGGGGAAUCUUCCACAAUGGGCGAAAGCCUGAUGGAGCGACGCCGCGUGAGCGAAGAAGGCCUUCGGGUUGUAAAGCUCUGUCUGGAGGGACGAAGGAAGUAGACGGUACCUCCGGACGGAAGCCGACGGCUAACUACGUGCCAGCAGCCGCGGUAAACACGAGAGUACGGAGCGGGCGUGGCG